This 518-nucleotide ribosomal RNA is filed under the name uncultured archaeon. RNAcentral's name for it is "bacterial SSU rRNA". It matches the Rfam family "Archaeal small subunit ribosomal RNA", at positions 483 to 997 of the family's 1478-position model. The record is from RNAcentral.
CCCGAGUGGUGAUCGUGAUUAUUGGGUCUAAAGGGUCCGUAGCCGGUUUGGUCAGUCCUCCGGGAAAUCUGAUAGCUCAACUAUUAGGCUUUCGGGGGAUACUGCCAGACUUGGAACCGGGAGAGGUAAGAGGUACUACAGGGGUAGGAGUGAAAUCUUGUAAUCCCUGUGGGACCACCUGUGGCGAAGGCGUCUUACCAGAACGGGUUCGACGGUGAGGGACGAAAGCUGGGGGCACGAACCGGAUUAGAUACCCGGGUAGUCCCAGCCGUAAACGAUGCUCGCUAGGUGUCAGGCAUGGCGCGACCGUGUCUGGUGCCGCAGGGAAGCCGUGAAGCGAGCCACCUGGGAAGUACGGCCGCAAGGCUGAAACUUAAAGGAAUUGGGCGGGGGAGCACAACAACGGGUGGAGCCCUGCGGUUUAAUUGGACUCAACGCCGGACAACUCACCGGGGGCGACAGCAAUAUGUAGGCCAAGCUGAACGACUUUGCCUGAAUCGCUGAGGAGUGGUGCAUGG